This 472-nucleotide ribosomal RNA is filed under the name uncultured bacterium. RNAcentral's name for it is "bacterial SSU rRNA". It matches the Rfam family "Bacterial small subunit ribosomal RNA", at positions 355 to 825 of the family's 1533-position model. The record is from RNAcentral.
UAGGGAAUUUUGGGCAAUGGGCGCAAGCCUGAUCCAGCCAUGCCGCGUGAGGGAAGAAGGCCUUCGGGUUGUAAACCUCUUUCGGGCGGGACGAAACGGGGCGCACGAAUAGUGCGUCUUACUGACGGUACCGCAAGAAGAAGCACCGGCUAACUACGUGCCAGCAGCCGCGGUAAUACGUAGGGUGCGAGCGUUAAUCGGAAUUACUGGGCGUAAAGCGUGCGCAGGUGGCUGUGCAAGCCAGGCGUGAAAUCCCCGGGCUCAACCUGGGAAUGGCGCUUGGGACUGCACGGCUAGAGUGCGGCAGAGGGAGCUGGAAUUCCUGGUGUAGCAGUGAAAUGCGUAGAGAUCAGGAGGAACACCGAUGGCGAAGGCAGGCUCCUGGGCCAGCACUGACACUCAUGCACGAAAGCGUGGGGAGCAAACAGGAUUAGAUACCCCCGUAGUCCCUGAGCGGGCUGGCAAGGCGCAU